This 198-nucleotide ribosomal RNA is filed under the name uncultured bacterium. Its description in RNAcentral is "partial 16S ribosomal RNA". It matches the Rfam family "Bacterial small subunit ribosomal RNA", at positions 335 to 524 of the family's 1533-position model. The record is from RNAcentral.
ACUCCUACGGGAGGCAGCAGUGGGGAAUAUUGGACAAUGGGGGGAACCCUGAUCCAGCCAUGCCGCGUGUGUGAAGAAGGCCUUAUGGUUGUAAAGCACUUUAAGCGAGGAGGAGGCUCUUUUGGUUAAUACCCAAGAUGAGUGGACGUUACUCGCAGAAUAAGCACCGGCUAACUCUGUGCCAGCAGCCGCGGUAAU